UACGUAGGGGGCAAGCGUUGUCCGGAUUUACUGGGCGUAAAGAGCGCGUAGGCGGACGUUUAAGUGUGGCCUGAAAGCCCCCGGCUCAACCGGGGAUCCGGGUUGCAAACUGGACGUCUUGAGGGGGAUAGGGGAAGGUGGAAUUCCUGGUGUAGCGGUGAAAUGCGUAGAGAUCAGGAGGAACACCCGUGGCGAAGGCGGCCUUCUGGGUCCGCCCUGACGCUGAGGCGCGAAAGCGUGGGGAGCGAACGGGAUUAGAUACCCCGGUAGUCCACGCCGUAAACGAUGAUUACUAGGUGUGUGUGGUAUCGACCCCACACGUGCCGCAGCUAACGCAAUAAGUAAUCCGCCUGGGGAGUACGGCCGCAAGGUUGAA
RNAcentral lists this ribosomal RNA (376 nucleotides) under uncultured bacterium. RNAcentral describes it as "bacterial SSU rRNA". It matches the Rfam family "Bacterial small subunit ribosomal RNA", at positions 524 to 898 of the family's 1533-position model. The record is from RNAcentral.